GGGCCCGCACAAGCGGUGGAGCAUGUGGUUCAAUUCGACGCAACGCGAAGAACCUUACCUGGGCUCGAAAUGUAGUGGAUCGGGGUGGAAACAUCCUUUCCCGCAAGGGCUGCUAUAUAGGUGCUGCAUGGCUGUCGUCAGCUCGUGUCGUGAGAUGUUGGGUUAAGUCCCGCAACGAGCGCAACCCUUAUUGCCAGUUGCCAUCAUUUAGUUGGGCACUCUGGCGAAACUGCCCCGGAUAACGGGGAGGAAGGUGGGGAUGACGUCAAGUCCUCAUGGCCUUUAUGUCCAGGGCUACACACGUGCUACAAUGGGUGGUACAAACCGUCGCAAACCCGCGAGGGGGAGCUAAUCGGAAAAAGCCAUCCUCAGUUCGGAUUGGAGUCUGCAACUCGACUCCAUGAAGCUGGAAUCGCUAGUAAUCGCGGAUCAGCACGCCGCGGUGAAUACGUUCCCGGGCCUU
Molecule: ribosomal RNA, 463 nt
Filed under: uncultured bacterium
Lineage: Bacteria
Description: bacterial SSU rRNA
Rfam family: Bacterial small subunit ribosomal RNA
Source: RNAcentral